GAUGAACGCUGGCGGCGUGCCUAAUACAUGCAAGUCGAGCGAACAGAUGAGGAGCUUGCUCCUCUGACGUUAGCGGCGGACGGGUGAGUAACACGUGGAUAACCUACCUAUAAGACUGGGAUAACUUCGGGAAACCGGAGCUAAUACCGGAUAAUAUAUUGAACCGCAUGGUUCAAUAGUGAAAGACGGUUUUGCUGUCACUUCUAGAUGGAUCCGCGCCGCAUUAGCUAGUUGGUAAGGUAACGGCUUACCAAGGCAACGAUGCGUAGCCGACCUGGGAGGGUGAUCGCCCACACUGGAACUGGGCCACGGUCCAGACUCCUACGGGAGGCAGCAGUAGGGAAUCUGCCGCAAUGGUCGAAAGCCUGACGGAGCAACGCCGCGUGAGUGAUGAAGGUCUUCGGAUCGUAAAACUCUGUUAUGAGGGAAGAACAAAUGUGUAAGUAACUAUGCACGUCUUGACGGUACCUAAUCAGAAAGCCACGGCUAACUACGUG
This 497-nucleotide ribosomal RNA is filed under the name uncultured bacterium. RNAcentral describes it as "partial 16S ribosomal RNA". It matches the Rfam family "Bacterial small subunit ribosomal RNA", at positions 28 to 507 of the family's 1533-position model. The record is from RNAcentral.